AAUCAACGCUGGCGGCGUGCCUCAGACAUGCAAGUCGAACGAUUAAAGCUCUCUUCGGAGAGUGCAUAAAGUGGCGCACGGGUGAGUAACACGUAAGUAAUCUACCUUCGAGUGGGGAAUAACAUCGGGAAACCGAUGCUAAUACCGCAUAAUGCAGCGGCAUCGCAAGAUGACAGUUGUUAAAGAUUUAUCGCUUGAAGAGGAGCUUGCGGCAGAUUAGCUAGUUGGUAAGGUAAUGGCUUACCAAGGCUACGAUCUGUAACCGGUCUAAGAGGACGGUCGGUCACACUGACACUGAAUAACGGGUCAGACUCCUACGGGAGGCAGCAGUCGGGAAUUUUGGGCAAUGGGCGAAAGCCUGACCCAGCAACGCCGCGUGAAGGAUGAAGUAUUUCGGUAUGUAAACUUCGAAAGAAUAGGAAGAAUAAAUGACGGUACUAUUUAUAAGGUCCGGCUAACUACGUGCCAGCAGCCGCCGUAAG
This 482-nucleotide ribosomal RNA is filed under the name uncultured bacterium. RNAcentral's name for it is "bacterial SSU rRNA". It matches the Rfam family "Bacterial small subunit ribosomal RNA", at positions 32 to 524 of the family's 1533-position model. The record is from RNAcentral.